RNAcentral lists this long non-coding RNA (238 nucleotides) under Coturnix japonica (Japanese quail). Its description in RNAcentral is "lncRNA (ENSCJPG00005020240.1)". The record is from RNAcentral. Lineage: Eukaryota; Metazoa; Chordata; Aves; Galliformes; Phasianidae.
GAGCUGGUGCUCCUCACAGAAGUACAGAGGGACCAUCUUCUCAUUACACCUACAGAACCUGACAGAAACAUUCCUUGAGCUCGAGGAUUUCUUCUGCCCACAUUCUGCCUGAGAAUUCAAGCAAGGAGAAGCAGAAGAUACUGAGCUCUUAGGAAGGUCUGGAAAAGUCAAAGAACCUGUAAUUUCUCUUUACACACGAAGUUCAGGCCCAAAACUUCCACCCAUCUAACACUUCAGC